CUACGGGUGGCUGCAGUGGGGAAUAUUGGACAAUGGGGGAAACCCUGAUCCAGCAAUGCCGCGUGUGUGAAGAAGGCCUGCGGGUUGUAAAGCACUUUCGGUUGGGAGGACUGCUUCUAGCACUAAUAUUGUUGGAAGUUGACGUUACCUUCAGAAGAAGCACCGGCUAACUCCGUGCCAGCAGCCGCGGUAAUACGGAGGUGCAAGCGUUAAUCGGAAUUACUGGGCGUAAAGCGCGCGUAGGCGGCUAGAUCAGUCGGGUGUGACAGCCCCGGGCUUAACCUGGGAACUGCAUCCGAUACUGGCUAGCUUGAGUACAGGAGAGGAGAGUGGAAUUCCACAUGUAGCGGUGAAAUGCGUAGAUAUGUGGAGGAACACCAAUGGCGAAGGCAGCUCUCUGGCCUGAUACUGACGCUGAGGUGCGAAAGCGUGGGGAGCAAACAGGAUUAGAUACCCCGGUAGUC
This 464-nucleotide ribosomal RNA is filed under the name uncultured bacterium. Its description in RNAcentral is "partial 16S ribosomal RNA". It matches the Rfam family "Bacterial small subunit ribosomal RNA", at positions 339 to 795 of the family's 1533-position model. The record is from RNAcentral.